Nymphaea colorata (pocket water lily) is the source of this 1798-nucleotide long non-coding RNA. RefSeq lists it as uncharacterized. NCBI's taxonomy places the organism in Eukaryota, Viridiplantae, Streptophyta, Magnoliopsida, Nymphaeales, Nymphaeaceae. The record is from RefSeq and is a predicted model, not a curated record. The transcript has 11 exons.
CUCAACCGUCACCGUUGAAGGCCGUCUUUUUUCCCGCCGAGUGCUAUCGGAGGAGGGGAAAUCUGAGGGAAAGCACCCUCUCUCGCUCUCUCUCGAUGGGAGCGAGGCUGGAUCCUCGAUGGUGCCGAGAAUGGAGGAGGAUGCAGAUUGCGUGCCUGGGUUGCCACAGUUCAUCCUUUACAAUUCGCUACUUGCCUCUGAUGGUGGAGUAAGACUGGAACGGGGGCAUCUAAAAGGUCGAGAGACAAAGGAGCCAAGUGGUGACACUGCAAUAAUUCGCGAGAUUUUUUGCGUUUCAAGCGAGUCACGAAUAUUUCACGGAAUCAAAGCGUUCGAGGGGGCGACGGGAGAGAGAGGUUUUCGAGAGGGUUUGGGAGAGAUUGCCGUCAUCCUCCGAAACCGCCACAUCUUUGCACAUCUCGUCCUCUGCUGGGCCAACUUCCUCAACCUCAUCACCGCCGGUGACAACAUCUCAUCGCACCACCACGUUUCCUGGUUCAUGGUUUGGGGAAUCGUUCCCAAUAUCCGCACAAGCACAAGCGCAUGUUAGGACUUGACUUCACUACAUGGGAGUUGCCCUGGAAUAAAAGGUGAAAACGGGGUCAUGGGCAAGUAUGCUGCUGGUGGAGAGCUCAAACCACCAGUCGACUAACUCAGUGACUGUUACCUAGCUUGUGCAUCUUAACGCACCUCCUGGUAACCUGGCAUUUGAUGGGUUCACUGGUGCGACUCAAGAUUUGUAGAGCUACUGGAUGCAAGCCCAUCCUUGGCAUAUCUGAUCUUUUUGAACGCAGCUAAAGUCUUGCCGCUUUUUGAUGAACCCGCUUACAUGGGCCAAGUAACAGGAAGUGGUGUUUGAAGCAUGAAAAAAUUGCAAGGAGAUGGUGUUGAAGGAGUUCUUCAAUGCACAUGGUCAUGUGGGCGGUUCUCCAUUGGAGUGUUCCGGUUUACUGCUUACAAAACCUGAUAUGAUAAUGUUGAUCUUGUGGCAAUUCGUGAGAACGAGAAAGGAGAGUACAGCGGCCUGGAGCAUCAGGUUGUUAGAGGUGUUGUUGAAAGUCUCAAAAUCAUUACCAGACAAGCUAGUCUGACAUUUGCAGAAUAUGCUUUCCGCUAUGGUAAAACCCAAGGAAGAAAAAAAGUUUCUCCCAUACACAAAGCCAACAAUAGGAGGAAGACUGAUGGACUUUUUCUUAAGUGCUACCGAGGGGUAGCAGAAAAGUAUCCAGAGAUCAAUUAUGAGGAAGUCAUCAUUGAUAAUUGCUUUAUGAUGCUUGUGAAAAUCCUUCUCUUUUUGAUGUGUUGGUGAUGCCAAACCUUUAUGGAGGCAUUAUGAGUGAUCUUUGUGCUGCAUUGAUUGGAGGAUUGGGUUUGACGCCAAGCUGUAAUAUUGGUGAGGGUGGUAUUGCACUGGCUGAAGCUGUGCAUGGUUCAUGCUGGCAAGGUGAGAACUCUGUACAUGUACAUGCCUAUGCAUUAGCCAGCUUCAUCUCAUCACACUGGUUUUUGUGUCUCACUGUUGCUACAUUUCAAAUCUCUAUGGAAUUAGUUCUUAACUUAGGCUGUCCGUGACACCUCACAUUUUCAGAAGUUGUUUGGCAAGAUGAAGUAAUUUAAUUCUGUGUCUGUCUUAUCUUCACCUCUGAUUACUACUUUUCACAAUCACAUUUGAUCGAUCAUUGUAGCAUCAACAGAGUUUGACUCAACAUUUAGAGAGGACCAUGUCCAAUGUAUUGAGUUUAGGAGUACUGCAGCUCACACAGCUGUUCACAAUCAAGGUCAUUUAAUGUUAUCAAGG